RNAcentral lists this ribosomal RNA (253 nucleotides) under uncultured bacterium. RNAcentral describes it as "partial 16S ribosomal RNA". It matches the Rfam family "Bacterial small subunit ribosomal RNA", at positions 524 to 776 of the family's 1533-position model. The record is from RNAcentral.
UACGUAGGGUGCGAGCGUUGUCCGGCAUUAUUGGGCGUAAAGGGCUCGUAGGCGGUUUGUCGCGUCGGGAGUGAACACGCCGUGCUUAACACGGCGCUUGCUUUCGAUACGGGCAGACUAGAGGUAUGCAGGGGAGAACGGAAUUCCUGGUGGAGCGGUGAAAGGCGCAGAGAUCAGGAGGAACACCGGUGGCGAAGGCGGUUCUCUGGGCAUUACCUGACGCUGAGGAGCGAAAGUGUGGGGAGCGAACAGG